Small nucleolar RNA from Papaver somniferum (opium poppy), 95 nucleotides. RefSeq annotates it as small nucleolar RNA snoR1. The record is from RefSeq and is a predicted model, not a curated record. Lineage: Eukaryota; Viridiplantae; Streptophyta; Magnoliopsida; Ranunculales; Papaveraceae. The transcript has a single exon.
GGCAAGGAUGAUAAACUCAUAUUUAUGACACCUCUUGUACGAGGAAACCCCUAAAAAAGUUAUUCCUUGAGCACAUUUAGCAACUCCCUGAGGUC